Molecule: long non-coding RNA, 547 nt
Organism: Bombyx mori (domestic silkworm)
Lineage: Eukaryota; Metazoa; Arthropoda; Insecta; Lepidoptera; Bombycidae
Exons: 3
Source: RefSeq, a predicted model, not a curated record
CCAAGAUUGUCGAAUAUUGUAUUGUCAUAAAUUUGUCUGCAGACGUUACGGAGUUUUCUCGGUGAAAGAAGUGCGCAAAGUUGAUAAUGGCUUUUAUAAAUAUUAUAUCAAUUAAUAGUUGUAUCCCUUCACUGCUGCUCAUACUGCUUGUGUCAGCUCAAACGAAGACGCAGCCCGCGCUGGUGUCUCCGUGCCCCAGUGUCUUCGAAUACGACACAAGCAUACAGCAUCCAGGUAGAUGGUACGGCGUUAUCAAGCUAUCAAGCGACUACACUAUCCACUCGUUGUGGUUGAACAUACAUCUGGACAACUAUUCUGAGGCGUUUAAGCCCACAGCCGUCCACUGCUGGACAUAGGCCUCUCCCAAUCUACACCACUGAGCCCGGUCUGCGGCUCUCCUCAUCCACUUCUUGCCGGCCACCGUGCGGAGGUCAUCGCACCAUGUAGCCAGGGGGCGUCCCACGUUACGUAUUCCGCUGCUACUAUAGCGGGUAGAUAAUGGUAUACGACAAGUAUUACUCAAAAUAAACAAAACAAUUUAAUUUAA